AUACCUUUCUCGGCCUUUUGGCUAAGAUUAAGUGUAGCAUUUAUUCUUAUCAGUUUAAUAUUUGAUAUAUGAGCCAUUGACUCACACAAUGUUAACUUAAAAAUUAAGGGGAAGAGUCCUUAAGGUAGCUUGCUGCCUGGGCUCUUGCGUGUCGCCCAUGCGUUGCACUGCUGCAUGGGCCUGGCGCACCCCAC
Small nuclear RNA from Lycium barbarum (goji berry), 194 nucleotides. RefSeq annotates it as U2 spliceosomal RNA. The record is from RefSeq and is a predicted model, not a curated record. The transcript has a single exon. NCBI's taxonomy places the organism in Eukaryota, Viridiplantae, Streptophyta, Magnoliopsida, Solanales, Solanaceae.